Molecule: ribosomal RNA, 460 nt
Filed under: uncultured bacterium
Lineage: Bacteria
Description: partial 16S ribosomal RNA
Rfam family: Bacterial small subunit ribosomal RNA
Source: RNAcentral
CCUACGGGAGACAGCAGUGAGGAAUAUUGGUCAAUGGACGAGAGUCUGAACCAGCCAAGUCGCGUGAAGGAUGACUGCCCUGUGUGUUGUAAACUUCUUUUAUAUGGGAAUAAAGUGUUCCACGUGUGGGAGUUUGUAUGUACCAUAUGAAUAAGGAUCGGCUAACUCCGUGCCAGCAGCCGCGGUAAUACGGAGGAUCCGAGCGUUAUCCGGAUUUAUUGGGUUUAAAGGGAGCGUAGGUGGAUUGUUAAGUCAGUUGUGAAAGUUUGCGGCUCAACCGUAAAAUUGCAGUUGAAACUGGCAGUCUUGAGUACAGGAGAGGUGGGCGGAAUGCGCGGUGUAGCGGUGAAAUGCUUAGAUAUCACGAAGAACUCCGAUUGCGAAGGCAGUUCACUGGACUGCAACUGACACUGAGGCUCGAAAGUGUGGGUAUCAAACAGGAUUAGAUACCCGGGUAGUC